RNAcentral lists this ribosomal RNA (368 nucleotides) under uncultured organism. RNAcentral's name for it is "bacterial SSU rRNA". It matches the Rfam family "Bacterial small subunit ribosomal RNA", at positions 526 to 896 of the family's 1533-position model. The record is from RNAcentral.
CGAGGGUGGCAAGCGUUGUUCGGAUUUACUGGGCGUACAGGGAGCGUAGGCGGUUCGGUAAGCCCUCCGUGAAAUCUCCAGGCUCAACCUGGAAAGUGCAGAGGGGACUGCCGGGCUAGAGGAUGGGAGAGGAGCGCGGAAUUCCCGGUGUAGCGGUGAAAUGCGUAGAGAUCGGGAGGAAGGCCGGUGGCGAAGGCGGCGCUCUGGAACAUUUCUGACGCUGAGGCUCGAAAGCGUGGGGAGCAAACGGGAUUAGAUACCCUGGUAGUCCACGCCUUAAACGAUGGAUACUAAGUGUCGGCGGGUUACCGCCGGUGCCGCAGCUAACGCAGUAAGUAUCCCGCCUGGGAAGUACGGCCGCAAGGUUG